Molecule: long non-coding RNA, 545 nt
Organism: Carassius gibelio (silver crucian carp)
Lineage: Eukaryota; Metazoa; Chordata; Actinopteri; Cypriniformes; Cyprinidae
Exons: 3
Source: RefSeq, a predicted model, not a curated record
ACUAACAGUCACGAAAACAACUUUUAACUGUUCAUCCAGGUGUCAACUAUAAUGCACACCUUUUAUAUUUUUUGAUAAUUAUUAAAAUAAACUGUAAAUCAUGUGGAAAACAAUUGCUACUUUUCAUUACCGAAUGGACUUAAAUACAAAUUGAAAGCUCAAUAACAUUUGAACAGAAUGAUUCACUUUCAUAAAACAUACUGUAAAGUGUUCAUCUAGGUGUCAGCUAUAAUGCACACCUUUUAUAUUUUUCAUAAUUAUUCAAAUAGACUGUAAAUCAUGUGUAAAAUAUUGCUACUUUUCAUUACCGAAUGGGCUUAAAUACAAAUUUAAAGCUCAAUAAAAAUUGAACAGAAUGACUCACAUUCAUAAAACAUACUGUAAAGUGUUCAUCUAGGUGUCAGCUAUAAUGCACACCUUUUAUAUUUUUCAUAAUUAUUCAAAUAGACUGUAAAUCAUGUGUAAAAUAUUGCUACUUUUCAUUACCGAAUGGGCUUAAAUACAAAUUUAAAGCUCAAUAAAAAUUGAACAGGAUGACUAACUUU